Molecule: ribosomal RNA, 251 nt
Filed under: uncultured prokaryote
Description: partial 16S rRNA
Rfam family: Bacterial small subunit ribosomal RNA
Source: RNAcentral
ACGGAGGGGGCUAGCGUUGUUCGGAAUUACUGGGCGUAAAGCGCGCGUAGGCGGCGCGCCAAGUCAGGGGUGAAAGGCCUGGGCUCAACCUGGGAACUGCCUUUGAUACUGGCGUGCUUGAGUCCGAGAGGGGAUGGUGGAACUCCCAGUGUAGAGGUGAAAUUCGUAGAUAUUGGGAAGAACACCGGUGGCGAAGGCGACCAUCUGGCUCGGAACUGACGCUGAGGUGCGAAAGCGUGGGGAGCAAACAG